GAGGUAGUGACAAGAAAUAACAAUACGGGGCUUAAAGUCUUGUAAUUGGAAUGAUGGGAAUUUAAACCUCUUCCAGAGUAUCAAUUGGAGGGCAAGUCUGGUGCCAGCAGCCGCGGUAAUUCCAGCUCCAAUAGCGUAUAUUAAAAUUGUUGCAGUUAAAAAGCUCGUAGUUGAAUUUCUGCUGCAUUGCUUGUGUCCCUCUGGGGUCUGUGCAUGUGGCUUUUUUCGGACGGAGUUUCUUUGUCUGAAUGUUUACUUUGAGAAAAUUAGAGUGCUCAAAGCAGGCUUUCGCCUUGAAUAGUUUAGCAUGGAAUAAUAAAGUAGGACUUUGGUUCUAUUUUGUUGGUUUUAGGUACCAAAGUAAUGGUUAAUAGGAACAGUUGGGGGCAUUCGUAUUUAACUGUCAGAGGUGAAAUUCUUAGAUUUGUUAAAGACGAACUACUGCGAAAGCAUUUGCCAAGGAUGUUUUCAUUAAUCAAGAACGAAAGUUAGGGGAUCGAAGACGAUCAGAUACCGUCGUAGUCCUAACCAUAAACUAUGCCGACUAGAGAUUGGAGGUCGUCAGUUUUUACGACUCCUUCAGCACCUUGAGAGAAAUCAAAGUCUUUGGGUUCUGGGGGGAGUAUG
RNAcentral lists this ribosomal RNA (627 nucleotides) under Theileria annulata. RNAcentral describes it as "SSU rRNA". It matches the Rfam family "Eukaryotic small subunit ribosomal RNA", at positions 461 to 1127 of the family's 1831-position model. Lineage: Eukaryota; Apicomplexa; Aconoidasida; Piroplasmida; Theileriidae. The record is from RNAcentral.